UAACCUUCGGGAGGGCGCUUACCACGGUGAGAUUCAUGACUGGGGUGAAGUCGUAACAAGGUAGCCGUAUCGGAAGGUGCGGCUGGAUCACCUCCUUUCAAG
RNAcentral lists this ribosomal RNA (102 nucleotides) under Enterococcus faecalis. RNAcentral describes it as "partial 16S ribosomal RNA". It matches the Rfam family "Bacterial small subunit ribosomal RNA", at positions 1436 to 1533 of the family's 1533-position model. Lineage: Bacteria; Bacillati; Bacillota; Bacilli; Lactobacillales; Enterococcaceae. The record is from RNAcentral.